CAGUCGCCACGGGAAUACAGAGGGUGCGAGCGUUAAUCGGAUUUACUGGGCGUAAAGCGUGCGUAGGUGGUGGUUUAAGUCCGUUGUGAAAGCCCUGGGCUCAACCUGGGAAUUGCAGUGGAUACUGGGUCACUAGAGUGUGGUAGAGGAUAGUGGAAUUUCCGGUGUAGCAGUGAAAUGCGUAGAGAUCGGAAGGAACAUCUGUGGCGAAGGCGACUAUCUGGGCCAACACUGACACUGAGGCACGAAAGCGUGGGGAGCAAACAGGAUUAGAUACCCCUGUAGUCCCUGUCUCUUAUAC
RNAcentral lists this ribosomal RNA (301 nucleotides) under uncultured bacterium. RNAcentral's name for it is "partial 16S ribosomal RNA". It matches the Rfam family "Bacterial small subunit ribosomal RNA", at positions 509 to 807 of the family's 1533-position model. The record is from RNAcentral.